AUUCUUGGUCAUUUUAGAAGAGGAAGUAAAAGUCGUAACAAGGUUUCCGUAGGUGAACCUGCGGAAGGAUCAUUAUUGAAUGAACUUGGCGUGAUUGUAGCUGGUCCUCUCGGGGGCAUGUGCACAUCUGUCAUCUUUAUCUUUCCACCUGUGCACACUUUGUAGGUCUGGAAUAAAAAUUUCCGAGGCAACUCGGUCGUGGGGGUUGCUAUAUCAGCUUUCCUUGCAUUUUCCAGGUCUAUGUUUUCAUAUACACCAUAACAAUGUAAUAGAAUGUUUUUAUUGGGUCUUGGUUACCUAUAAAACUAUAUACAACUUUCAGCAACGGAUCUCUUGGCUCUCGCAUCGAUGAAGAACGCAGCGAAAUGCGAUAAGUAAUGUGAAUUGCAGAAUUCAGUGAAUCAUCGAAUCUUUGAACGCACCUUGCGCUCCUUGGUAUUCCGAGGAGCAUGCCUGUUUGAGUGUCAUUAAAUUCUCAACCUUAUCAGCUUUUGUUGAUAAUGGCUUGGAUGUGGGGGUUUCUUUGCUGGCUUCUUAACGAGAUCAGCUCCCCUUAAAAUUAUUAGCUGGUUGCGUUGUGCAAACUGUCUAUUGGUGUGAUAAUUAUCUACGCCGUGGACUUUCUGCUAGUAUUUUUAGCACCGCUUCUAACUGUCCGUUGACUCGGACAAUAUAUAUGACAAUUUGACCUCAAAUCAGGUAGGACUACCCGCUGAACUUAAGCAUAUCAAUAAGCGGAGGAAAAGAAACUAACAAGGAUUCCCCUAGUAACUGCGAGUGAAGCGGGAAAAGCUCAAAUUUAAAAUCUGGCGGUCUUUGGCUGUCCGAGUUGUAAUCUAGAGAAGUGUUAUCCGCGCUGGACCGUGUACAAGUCUCCUGGAAU
This 883-nucleotide small RNA is filed under the name uncultured Basidiomycota. Its description in RNAcentral is "eukaryotic LSU rRNA". The stretch from base 314 to 467 matches the Rfam family "5.8S ribosomal RNA". Lineage: Eukaryota; Fungi; Basidiomycota. The record is from RNAcentral.